This 468-nucleotide ribosomal RNA is filed under the name uncultured bacterium. Its description in RNAcentral is "partial 16S ribosomal RNA". It matches the Rfam family "Bacterial small subunit ribosomal RNA", at positions 28 to 507 of the family's 1533-position model. The record is from RNAcentral.
GACGAACGCUGGCGGCGUGCUUAACACAUGCCAGUCGAACGGAAAGGCCCUGCUUUUGUGGGGUGCUCGAGUGGCGAACGGGUGAGUAACACGUGAGUAACCUGCCCUUGACUUUGGGAUAACUUCAGGAAACUGGGGCUAAUACCGGAUAGGAGCUCCUGCUGCAUGGUGGGGGUUGGAAAGUUUCGGCGGUUGGGGAUGGACUCGCGGCUUAUCAGCUUGUUGGUGGGGUAGUGGCUUACCAAGGCUUUGACGGGUAGCCGGCCUGAGAGGGUGACCGGCCACAUUGGGACUGAGAUACGGCCCAGACUCCUACGGGAGGAAGCAGUGGGGAAUAUUGCACAAUGGGCGGAAGCCUGAUGCAGCAACGCCGCGUGCGGGAUGACGGCCUUCGGGUUGUAAACCGCUUUCGCCUGUGACGAAGCGUGAGUGACGGUAAUGGGUAAAGAAGCACCGGCUAACUACGUG